CAAUAGCGUAUAUUAAAGUUGUUGCAGUUAAAAAGCUCGUAGUUGGAUUUCUGCUGAGGACGAUCGGUCCGCCCACUGGGUGAGUAUCUGGCUCGGCCUUGGCAUCUUCUUGGAGAACGUUGCUGCACUUGACUGUGAGGCGCGGUAUCCAGGACUUUUACUUUGAGGAAAUUAGAGUGUUUCAAGCAGGCGCACGCCUUGAAUACAUUAGCAUGGAAUAAUGAGAUAGGACCUUGGUUCUAUUUUGUUGGUUUCUAGAGCUGAGGUAAUGAUUAAUAGGGAUAGUUGGGGGCAUUCGUAUUUAACUGUCAGAGGUGAAAUUCUUGGAUUUGUUAAGGACGGACUACAGCGAAAGCAUUUGCCAAGGAUGUUUUCAUUGA
This 380-nucleotide ribosomal RNA is filed under the name uncultured eukaryote. RNAcentral describes it as "partial 18S ribosomal RNA". It matches the Rfam family "Eukaryotic small subunit ribosomal RNA", at positions 592 to 976 of the family's 1831-position model. The record is from RNAcentral.